This 74-nucleotide transfer RNA is filed under the name Acropora cervicornis. RNAcentral's name for it is "tRNA-Thr". It matches the Rfam family "tRNA". From Rfam's summary of the family: Transfer RNA (tRNA) molecules are approximately 80 nucleotides in length. Their secondary structure includes four short double-helical elements and three loops (D, anti-codon, and T loops). Further hydrogen bonds mediate the characteristic L-shaped molecular structure. tRNAs have two regions of fundamental functional importance: the anti-codon, which is responsible for specific mRNA codon recognition, and the 3' end, to which the tRNAs corresponding amino acid is attached (by aminoacyl-tRNA synthetases). tRNAs cope with the degeneracy of the genetic code in two manners: having more than one tRNA (with a specific anti-codon) for a particular amino acid; and 'wobble' base-pairing, i.e. permitting non-standard base-pairing at the 3rd anti-codon position. Lineage: Eukaryota; Metazoa; Cnidaria; Anthozoa; Scleractinia; Acroporidae. The record is from RNAcentral.
GUCGCUGUAGCUCAGCCGAUUAAAGCGCCUGUCGAGUAAACGGGAGGUCAUGGGCUCAAAUCCCAUCAGUGCCU